CUGUGGCUAUAAAAGCUCGUCCCUUUCUUUCCUUUCCUAGACUUGGGAAGGAGAGUGAGAGAGUGAGAGGAUGUGAGAGCAUAGGAGUGAGAAUGAGAUCGGGUAUAGGUCGCCGCACCAGACCAUUCCCCUCCGAACCAUAUUGUGCAAGCUAUCACGCAUCUUCCCAAGCCGGAUAACCCUUCGACUAGUUGGGUAAGAGGUCAUCUCGCCAUGCACGUAUAUUGUUUCCCCAAUUUAUAGUAAUUUGAAGCUAUUGGGGUUAUCAAUCAUUCUCUUCCACACAAAUCUUAGGAUUUUGGUGCUAGGGUUUGAGGCCCUUUUUAAAUAAUUAGUGGUGGUCUAUUCUCAUCCAGAAGUCGUAUUAGAGCACGAACUCGUGUGAGCUUUGAAUUUGCGCUGAGCUUGGGUUUUGCUUGUUGAAUCGAGUUGGUAAUUUGUUCAAAUUGAGAUAAGUAAACCCUUGUUGAAAGUUUAAUUAUGUUAAAAUCUAAGCUAUUAAUGAUGAUUUUGCCAAUGAAUUAGGGUUUGGAGUUUUAUCCCCAAAUUCUUUAUGCCUACAUUGCAUCGGAAUUGAGAGAUUUCGAUUCUAAGGUACAUGAAGUCGUGGAGCUCAGGAGAUCCGGGUAGAGCUCGAUGGAGAGAGAUAAAUGAGCGCAGUGCCAGCCUGACCGAGCUUCAAGAGCUCGUGCUGAUACUCUAGUUUUUCUUUCCUUUAUUUGCGUAUGUCUUGUAUGUUGGGAUUGCUAUGGUUUGUGGUGGUCUUCAUGGGCAUGCCUUUAGAUUUAUGUACUUUCUGGAUAUUGCCCAGCUAUUUUUUACCUCAGUUAUCCCUACAUUUCCUCUGA
Long non-coding RNA from Magnolia sinica, 848 nucleotides. RefSeq lists it as uncharacterized. NCBI's taxonomy places the organism in Eukaryota, Viridiplantae, Streptophyta, Magnoliopsida, Magnoliales, Magnoliaceae. The record is from RefSeq and is a predicted model, not a curated record. The transcript has 2 exons.